UGAGGACAUGGAUAAUAGCUUGGU
Molecule: non-coding RNA, 24 nt
Filed under: Mus musculus (house mouse)
Lineage: Eukaryota; Metazoa; Chordata; Mammalia; Rodentia; Muridae
Source: RNAcentral